This 253-nucleotide ribosomal RNA is filed under the name uncultured bacterium. Its description in RNAcentral is "partial 16S ribosomal RNA". It matches the Rfam family "Bacterial small subunit ribosomal RNA", at positions 524 to 776 of the family's 1533-position model. The record is from RNAcentral.
UACGGAGGGUGCAAACGUUGCUCGGAAUCAUUGGGCGUAAAGCGCACGUAGGCGGCUUGUUAAGUCGGGUGUGAAAGCCCCGGGCUCAACCCGGGAAGUGCAUUCGAAACUGGCAAGCUUGAAUAUGGAAGAGGGUCGCGGAAUUCCCGGUGUAGAGGUGAAAUUCGUAGAUAUCGGGAGGAACACCAGUGGCGAAGGCGGCGACCUGGGCCAAUAUUGACGCUGAGGUGCGAAAGCGUGGGGAGCAAACAGG